This 179-nucleotide non-coding RNA is filed under the name Bacillus sp. (in: firmicutes). RNAcentral describes it as "Bacillus sp. Lysine sequence". It matches the Rfam family "Lysine riboswitch aptamer". Rfam says of the family: Riboswitches are metabolite binding domains within certain messenger RNAs that serve as precision sensors for their corresponding targets. Allosteric rearrangement of mRNA structure is mediated by ligand binding, and this results in modulation of gene expression. The record is from RNAcentral. Lineage: Bacteria; Bacillati; Bacillota; Bacilli; Caryophanales; Bacillaceae. RNAcentral also lists the same sequence under 1 other name.
CGAUGGGAUAGAGGCUGCAGUUUAUAUGAGUAAAACAGUCGAGAUACCAUGAUGUUGAUGACGCUGUUUGAAAGGAUAAACUGCCGAAGUGUGAGUAGGUCAUUGUCUAUUCAUGCUGGGGAUGUUUUCGAAUAGGAACAUCACUGUCGCGUUAUUUAACGUGGAGGGCUAUCUUCGGA